Molecule: long non-coding RNA, 310 nt
Organism: Pipistrellus kuhlii (Kuhl's pipistrelle)
Lineage: Eukaryota; Metazoa; Chordata; Mammalia; Chiroptera; Vespertilionidae
Exons: 2
Source: RefSeq, a predicted model, not a curated record
CAAUCAGCGAAAAUGCCCUGGCAGUAAAAGCAACCACAGCACCAACCAAUCCUCCUGGACUUUGACAUCAGCCAGGCUGGGAGCUUAUUUAGCGAGUUAUUGGAAAUUAAGCAGCAUUCGGAUUGCUAGGUAAUGAAGGAACGGUUGCUGUCCCAGUGUUUCCUGCGUUUUGUCUGCAUAGAAGCAGAAAACAUGAAGGAUUACAAGAACUUUUCUUCUUCUGUAAGUUACCAGAUGAAGGCCAAUAUUCUGUAUAUCUCUGCUACUUCGGAAUCAGAAACCAGGUGGGACCAUGCAAACAACACACACA